Anopheles merus is the source of this 1146-nucleotide long non-coding RNA. RefSeq lists it as uncharacterized. The transcript has 3 exons. NCBI's taxonomy places the organism in Eukaryota, Metazoa, Arthropoda, Insecta, Diptera, Culicidae. The record is from RefSeq and is a predicted model, not a curated record.
CUCAACAUUCAGCAUCGUUCAACCAACGUUGGUAAAAUGUUACCUUGAUCAUAAAGGGUUACACGCUGGGGACUAGAAGGUUUGGUGCUUCGAUGAUACCAACACAGCGGCAGGCUUACAUGUGUGGGGCUGUUGUGUGCCUCUCAAAUGGACUCCCUUUUGCCUGGGAUUGGUUUUGACUCAUCGCUAUGCAAUCAAACGGCUUGCUGCAUUGUUGUACAGGCGAGCGAGGGCAGUUACAUAGGUGUGCCAGCUGCUAGAAGUGUGUUGGUUAGGUGCCAUCCGGAGUAUAUUCGGUUUGCUAGCAGCAAUAUUUUGCCAGAUAGAGCGGGGGCGAUGGUUUAAACAUUAUUGCUACAUGCUAAUCCAAAAUGGUACCAAAUAUUGCCGGUACUUGCUUUAAAAGUUGAUCAAAAAGUUGAACAUCAUCGAACACUGACGAAGCGCAUAUGUGACGGGAUGUAGCUUCGACCGUCCAUCGUCGGCCAUGAUCGUGGCCACCCGCCAUUGAAGCGCUCUCCACAGUCCGCGGGAGUCAAGAUCACUAAACCGCUCUCCGCGGUCACCAUCGAAUCAUCAACGUGUUUGAGCCGACAGUGGAUUCGGUGAGCGUGUGUUAGUGGAUUGUUCGGAUGGCGCAUGCACACCCCACCAACCUCUACUUGCAGGACAAAUGCAAACUCAAACUCUAGACAUGGACAUCAAAGGUUCAUUAGAGUUUUACUGUAGUCUCCUAAAGUUAAAACAGGUAGUAUAAACGUCAGAUUCGGAUCGUCAAUGAAUUUGCCACAAAUUCACUUUGGACAACACUUCGUCGCUAUUUAGAGACUGUAUUCCAAACAUUGCGUGUUGUGUGUGAUACGUAGCAUCGCCUAUUAGCCCAGAUUAGCUGUUAAAAAAUGCAUUUGAUUUGAGGGUUAGUAAGAAUGUUAAUAUUUAACUUAUUCCAAUUUAAAUUGGUUCAUAUCCCUAAACCGAUCAAUUCACAUAUAACCACAACUAAUCAGUGACAUAGCCAGGCAAACCGAAAACGGUUGCUGCACCAAAUAAGGAAUAAUUUUAAAUGUAUUUGGUAGAAAAUAGCAUAAAAUCAUACCGAACCAUUUCUACGACAAAACGGGCUUUAUGUAUAUGAAAUAAACUGAU